RNAcentral lists this ribosomal RNA (113 nucleotides) under Nanobdellota archaeon. Lineage: Archaea; Nanobdellati; Nanobdellota. The record is from RNAcentral.
GAACACGGCCAUAGUGAUCAGGAAAUACCUGUUCCCUUUCCGAACACAGAAGUCAAGCUGGUCACGUCUGUAAUUAGUCUCCGUCAAGAGGCGAAACACAGAUGCCGUCUUCG